AAAAAAUAAUAUGAUGACAAAAUUAUAUGUUCCUACUCUCAGAAAAUAUUUUAUUAACAGCCUUGCAACGCUAAAAGCUUCUAAAACCCUGACAGCAAUUCAGAUCUCAGAUCAUUAUUUUGGCUGGACCAGCUGGAUUAGCAUCUUUCCUCACAGGAUCUCCUGGAAAAACCACAACAGAAGUAAUUAAAGGUAAGAAAUCAUGACAUGGCAUACAAUCCAUUGUGCAUCGAAAAUGUGGAUUCACCAAUUCACCUGAUUGGUAUAAUAAAAUAUCUAACUUGGAUAACCAACAUCAAACCUUUACUACUGCUUUACAAGAUGGCCAUGUAAAAGAAAUUUACACGGUAGUUGUUGUAAAUUUGGACCCUUUGUCAAAACUAACCAGGACAAAGAUGAGGAGCAAAUAACAAUGGCAACUACACAAACAAUGCAAGCAAGAACAUUCAGAUCUAGAUCUAAUCCAGCAACCUAUGUGUAUAACAAAUCCACAAUCAAAGCAAAGAACAAAGAUAAUGAGAGAGAGCCAAUAUUUGGUUACACGUUUCGGCCCAAAAAUUGAAUUACAUCUGGAGGAGAGAGCAGCUCUCGAAUCCACUAUCAAUGAGUUUCUUACAAAGAGAUACAAAAGAGUUGCAAUAAAUUAACUUCAACAGUUCUCAAAGAACAAACCUAAUUUAUACCCAUGAACAACAGCUUCAAAGAUUUUUCGCUCUCCAAGGUGUUUACAAUGUGUUUUCCAACCCUAGAAUCUCACCCAAAGUUCUCAAAUUUUACCCUAAAAGUGUCCUCUUUUGGUCUCCCAAGAUUGCACAACAAAUGAGAAGAAAACAGCUUGAAUAAGGUUCAGGAUCCGAUGCAUCCGCCUCGCGGCCAGGCCUACCCACCUUGUGGGUGAGGCAGUAGCGAAACAUCUGAAAUCUCCAACAUCCCCCCGCUUUGCAGCCCCUGCUGGGUGCCUUGCGGAUGGGACAAUAGCUAACCAAAAAACAAGUUUUCAAACUUCCCUUUGAUGAGGUUUUAAGGCAUGACCACAACAGCAGUAAUACUCAAUGUGUCUAAUGCUGCAACUGCCGGUGCAAUGAGUGAAGAUGUGUGUAAUUGUUAUCGUUUAGCUUUUCUGUGUGGGAGUAAUAUUGAUCACUUCAAGAGUUUAGAAGAGGUUUCUCUUACGGUGUUGAAAGAUAUUGUAUAUAAUUGUUGUCUGUUUUGUUUUUUCUCAUUUUUCUCUUUUUUCUUUUUACUAGUUUGCAAAGAUGCCUGUCUCAAAGUAUCUUGUCAUUCUCUUUCUAAAAGUUACAUUUAACAUUUCG
Molecule: long non-coding RNA, 1313 nt
Filed under: Medicago truncatula (barrel medic)
Lineage: Eukaryota; Viridiplantae; Streptophyta; Magnoliopsida; Fabales; Fabaceae
Description: lncRNA gene4138
Source: RNAcentral